CCUACGGGGGGCAGCAGUGGGGAAUAUUGCACAAUGGGCGCAAGCCUGAUGCAGCCAUGCCGCGUGUGUGAAGAAGGCCUUCGGGUUGUAAAGCACUUUCAGCGGGGAGGAAGGCGUUAAGGUUAAUAACCUUGUCGAUUGACGUUACCCGCAGAAGAAGCACCGGCUAACUCCGUGCCAGCAGCCGCGGUAAUACGGAGGGUGCAAGCGUUAAUCGGAAUUACUGGGCGUAAAGCGCACGCAGGCGGUCUGUCAAGUCGGAUGUGAAAUCCCCGGGCUCAACCUGGGAACUGCAUUCGAAACUGGCAGGCUAGAGUCUUGUAGAGGGGGGUAGAAUUCCAGGUGUAGCGGUGAAAUGCGUAGAGAUCUGGAGGAAUACCGGUGGCGAAGGCGGCCCCCUGGACAAAGACUGACGCUCAGGUGCGAAAGCGUGGGGAGCAAACAGGAUUAGAUACCCGAAUAGUC
RNAcentral lists this ribosomal RNA (465 nucleotides) under uncultured Klebsiella sp. RNAcentral describes it as "bacterial SSU rRNA". It matches the Rfam family "Bacterial small subunit ribosomal RNA", at positions 338 to 795 of the family's 1533-position model. Lineage: Bacteria; Pseudomonadati; Pseudomonadota; Gammaproteobacteria; Enterobacterales; Enterobacteriaceae. The record is from RNAcentral.